This 378-nucleotide ribosomal RNA is filed under the name uncultured bacterium. RNAcentral's name for it is "bacterial SSU rRNA". It matches the Rfam family "Bacterial small subunit ribosomal RNA", at positions 28 to 415 of the family's 1533-position model. The record is from RNAcentral.
GACGAACGCUUGCGACGUGCCUAAGAAAUGCAAGUCGAACGGGGGAGCAAUCCCUAGUGGCGAACGGUCGCGUAACACGUGGGCAACCUGCCCUGAAGCGGGGGACAACAAGUCGAAAGAUUUGCUAAUACCGCAUGUGUCUCGCUGUGGCAUCACAGAGGAGACAAAGCCGCAAGGCACUUCAGGAUGGGCCCGCGGCCUAUCAGCUUGUUGGUGAGGUAACGGCCCACCAAGGCUUCGACGGGUAGCUGGUCUGAGAGGACGAUCAGCCGGAUUGGGACUGAGAUACGGCCCAGACUCCUACGGGGGGCAGGCAAUUAGGAAUCUUGCACAAUGGGCGAAAGCCUGAUGCAGCGACGUCGCGUGAAGGAUGAAAUC